This is a long non-coding RNA of Telopea speciosissima, 244 nucleotides long. RefSeq lists it as uncharacterized. The transcript has 3 exons. Lineage: Eukaryota; Viridiplantae; Streptophyta; Magnoliopsida; Proteales; Proteaceae. The record is from RefSeq and is a predicted model, not a curated record.
ACACGGUAGCGGAAAGACUAUCCCUUCAUUGAAAUAUUCCACAGCCCAGAACAAGCUGUGAACCAAGGAAGGGUUGUGGAUCCUAAUAUAACAAGGUACUCGGUCAAGGUCUUGCCUUUCAAUUUUGAUGUUUAUGCAUAUGGGUUCAGGGAGUUCUUCAAGCGACAUGGGAUACACUCGUCAACUCCAAACAACUAAGGAAUGAGUUCCCUCACAACUGUUUGGUCGAAGAAUUCUUUUCAAA